GCGGUAGGAGAGCGUCGUAACCGGGCUGAAGUCGUACCGUAAGGAGCGGUGGACUGGUUACGAGUGAGAAUGUUGGCAUCAGUAGCGAGAUGUGGGUGAGAAUCCCACAGGCCGAAAACCUAAGGUUUCCUCAGGAAGGUUCGUCCGCUGAGGGUUAGUCGGGACCUAAGCCGAGGCCGAAAGGCGUAGGUGAUGGACAACUGGUUGAUAUUCCAGUACCACUACCAUCGUUAUUAUCGAUUGCGUGACGCAGGAGGAUAGUGUGUGCUAGCUAUUGGAUGCUAGUCUAAGCGUUUAGGCAGUGAGAGUAGGCAAAUCCGCUCUCAUAAUGCUGAGGCGUGAUGGGGAAGGUGCUACGGAACCGAAGUACAUGAUUCCACGCUGCCAAGAAAAGCGUCUAGAGAGAGAAGUAGUGCCCGUACCGCAAACCGACACAGGUAGGUGAGGAGAGAAUCCUAAGGCCGGCGGAAGAAUUACAGUUAAGGAACUCGGCAAAUUGACCCCGUAAGUUCGCGAGAAGGGGUGCCUACGAGAGUAGGCCGCAGAGAAUAGGCCCAAGCAACUGUUUAGCAAAAACACAGGUCUCUGCUAAAGCGUAAGCUGAUGUAUAGGGGCUGACGCCUGCCCGG
Molecule: ribosomal RNA, 629 nt
Filed under: Clostridium perfringens
Lineage: Bacteria; Bacillati; Bacillota; Clostridia; Eubacteriales; Clostridiaceae
Description: bacterial LSU rRNA
Rfam family: Bacterial large subunit ribosomal RNA
Source: RNAcentral